RNAcentral lists this ribosomal RNA (1168 nucleotides) under uncultured bacterium. Its description in RNAcentral is "bacterial SSU rRNA". It matches the Rfam family "Bacterial small subunit ribosomal RNA", at positions 108 to 1306 of the family's 1533-position model. The record is from RNAcentral.
GAAUAACACGUAAGUAACCUGUCUCAAAGUGGGGAAUAAUCCGCCGAAAGGUGGACUAAUACCGCAUGUGGUAGUGGGGGUAGGUUUCCAUUACUAAAGCUCACGGGCGCUUGUGAGGGGCUUGCGUCCUAUCAGGUAGUUGGUGGGGUAACGGCUCACCAAGCCGACGACGGGUAGCUGGUCUGAGAGGAUGUCCAGCCAGACGGGGACUGAGACACGGCCCCGACUCCUACGGGAGGCAGCAGCAAGGAAUUUUGCACAAUGGGCGAAAGCCUGACGCAGCAACACCGCGUGAGGGAAGAAGGCCUUCGGGUUGUAAACCUCUUUUGUCAGGGAAGAAUAAUGACGGUACCUGGCGAAUAAGUCACGGCUAACUACGUGCCAGCAGCUGCGGUAAUACGUAGGUGGCAAGCGUUAUCCGGAUUCACUGGGCGUAAAGAGCGCGUAGGUGGUCUUUCAAGUCAGAUGUUAAAUUUCUCGGCUCAACUGGGAACAGUCAUCUGAUACUGUUGGACUUGAGGGUGGUAGAAGGAGGUGGAAUUCCCGGUGUAGUGGUGAAAUGCGUAGAUAUCGGGAGGAACACCAGUGGCGAAAGCGGCCUCCUAGGCCAUUCCUGACACUGAGGCGCGAAAGCGUGGGGAGCGAACAGGAUCAGAUACCCUGGUAGUCCACGCCCUAAACUGUGGAAACUAGGUACAGGGAGUAUCGACCCUUCCUGCGCCGUAGCUAACGCGUUAAGUUUCCCGCCUGGGGACUACGGUCGCAAGACUAAAACUCAAAGGAAUUGACGGGGGCCCGCACAAGCAGCGGAGCGUGUGGUUUAAUUCGAUGCACACGAAGAACCUUACCAAGGCUUGACAUGCUGGAAGUAGUGAAACGAAAGUCUAACCAACUGUUAAAUCAGUAGCCUGCACAGGUGCUGCAUGGCUGUCGUCAGCUCGUGCCGUGAGGUGUUGGGUUAAGUCCCCCAACGAGCGUAACCCUCGUUGCCAGUUAUUUUCUCUGGCGAGACUGCCCCGCAAAACGGGGAGGAAGGUGGGGAUGACGUCAAGUCAGCACGGCCCUUAUGCCUUGGGCUACACACACGCUACAAUGGACGGUACAAUGGGAAGCAAGGGAGCGAUUCGGAGCUAAUCCAAAAAGCCGUUCUCAGUUCGGAUUGCAGGCU